This 439-nucleotide ribosomal RNA is filed under the name uncultured prokaryote. Its description in RNAcentral is "bacterial SSU rRNA". It matches the Rfam family "Bacterial small subunit ribosomal RNA", at positions 355 to 796 of the family's 1533-position model. The record is from RNAcentral.
UCGAGAAUCUUCGGCAAUGGGCGAAAGCCUGACCGAGCAAUGCCGCGUGCGGGAUGAAGGCCCUCGGGUUGUAAACCGCGAAAGUGAGGAGGAAGGGCCCGUGAAGAGCGGGUCUUGACCGAUCCACAGUAAGGACGGGCUAAGUUCGUGCCAGCAGCCGCGGUAACACGAACCGUCCAAACGUUAUUCGGAAUCAUUGGGCUUAAAGGGUGCGUAGGCGGACCAUUAAGUCGGGUGUGAAAUCCUUCGGCUCAACCGAAGAAUUGCGCCCGAUACUGGUGGUCUUGAGGGAGACAGGGGUGAGCGGAACUGAUGGUGGAGCGGUGAAAUGCGUUGAUAUCAUCAGGAACACCGGUGGCGAAAGCGGCUCACUGGGUCUCUUCUGACGCUGAGGCACGAAAGCCAGGGUAGCGAACGGGAUUAGAUACCCCCGUAGUCC